This 497-nucleotide ribosomal RNA is filed under the name Sthenoteuthis oualaniensis. RNAcentral describes it as "partial large subunit ribosomal RNA". It matches the Rfam family "Bacterial large subunit ribosomal RNA", at positions 1850 to 2607 of the family's 2925-position model. Lineage: Eukaryota; Metazoa; Mollusca; Cephalopoda; Oegopsida; Ommastrephidae. The record is from RNAcentral.
GAGUCGGGCCUGCUCGGUGAAUAAGUUUUUAACAGCUGCGGUAUUUUAACUGUACUAAGGUAGCAUAAUAAUUUGCCUUAUAAUUUGAGGCUAGAAUGAAUGGUUUGACGAAGGUUAAUCUGUCUCCAUCUUAUUUUUUAGAAUUUAAUUUUUAAAGUGAAAAAGCUUAAAUUUUUUAAAGGGACGAGAAGACCCUAAUGAGCUUAUAAUUUUAUUAUUGUUGUUUAAAAUAUUUGAUCAAUAAUAUAUAAAUUUUAAUUGGGGUGAUUGAGGAAUAAGUUGAUUGAAGUAACUUCCUCAAAGUAAAUGUUUAUAGAUAAAGUAACCAAUAUAAUAUUGCUUAUAAUAUAGUUACCAUAGGGAUAACAGCGUAAUUUGUUUAGAGAGUUCUUAUUGAAAAACGAGAUUGCGACCUCGAUGUUGGAUUAAAGUAACCUUAAGGUGCAGAAGCUUUAGUAAGGUAAAUCUGUUCGAUUUUUAAUACUUUACGUGAUCUG